This is a long non-coding RNA of Oncorhynchus nerka (sockeye salmon), 295 nucleotides long. RefSeq lists it as uncharacterized. The transcript has 3 exons. NCBI's taxonomy places the organism in Eukaryota, Metazoa, Chordata, Actinopteri, Salmoniformes, Salmonidae. The record is from RefSeq and is a predicted model, not a curated record.
AGUGCCUGGCAGCACUGUGUUCCUGUUAGAGCCACCAGCACAAGCACCAGACGAUGCUGAUCCAGGUGAAGGCCCCAGUGCAGCAGCACAACAGCACAUGAUGGAGACGAUGAUGAGGAGGAGACCAUCUCUCUGGAUUCCAGAAGGCAUGAGGACCCAGAUGCUAUACAGUGGGAAAACCAGCCUGGCAACAUAGUGCGUAUUAAUAAAAGGACACCACAUCCUGCCAAAUUCCAGCUGCGCUAAUUGUAUUGUGUUCACAGAGCUCACAAGCUAUCAGAAAGUUGUAUGGCAA